RNAcentral lists this ribosomal RNA (213 nucleotides) under Triticum aestivum (bread wheat). Its description in RNAcentral is "partial small subunit ribosomal RNA". Lineage: Eukaryota; Viridiplantae; Streptophyta; Magnoliopsida; Poales; Poaceae. The record is from RNAcentral.
AUGUGUAUGAGCAAGAAGGAUGGGGGGCUUGGGUUUAGAGACCCGGAAGCUUUCAAUCAAGCUAUGCUUGCAAGACAAGCUUGGCGUUUACUUCAAGUACCAGAUUCUUUGUGUGGAAGGGUCUUAAAGGCGAGGUAUUUCCCUGACGGAACGAUCUUAAACGCCACAUGCCCAGACGGGGGAUCAUACACGUUCCGAAGUAUCUUACACGGC